Molecule: ribosomal RNA, 253 nt
Filed under: uncultured bacterium
Lineage: Bacteria
Description: partial 16S ribosomal RNA
Rfam family: Bacterial small subunit ribosomal RNA
Source: RNAcentral
UACGUAGGGGGCAAGCGUUGUCCGGAAUCAUUGGGCGUAAAGCGCGUGUAGGCGGUCCGAUUAGUCGGCUGUGAAAGUCAAGGGCUCAACCCUUGAAUGCCGGUCGAUACUGUCGGACUAGAGUCCGGAAGAGGCAAGUGGAAUUCCCGGUGUAGCGGUGAAAUGCGCAGAUAUCAGGAGGAACACCAAUAGCGAAGGCAGCUCGCUGGGACGGUACUGACGCUAAGGCGCGAAAGCGUGGGGAGCGAACAGG